CAGGGACUUGUGCAUGCUAGGCAAGCACUCUAGCAACUGAGCCACAUCCCCAGCCCCUAAAAGAAAAUUUCUCAAAAAGAAAAUUCACUGAGGUCUAGUUUACACAAAGUAAAACAUAUUAUUUUAAAAAUAGAGCUGGGCUUUGUGGUACAUGCCUAUAAUUCCAGCUACUCAGGAGGCUAAGACAGAAGGAUCCCAAGUUGGAGGUUAGCCUCUCAACUUGUGAGACUGUCUCAAAAAAUAAAGACUUGGGGAUGUAUCUCAGUGGUAAAGUGCCCCUGCCUUCAAUCCCUGGUACCAAAAUAAAUAAAAAAAUAAAUAGGGCAGAGGACAUAACUCAGUGUAAGAGCAUCCCUGAGUUCAAUCCCCAGUAAUGCAAAAAACAAAAAAAACUUAAAAUAUAGUGAUGUCUUGACACAUUUAUGCACUCAUGUGACCACUGUCAACUAGAAUAUGCCUAUCACCCCAAAAAUGUUCUCAUAGCUGAACAUUUGAUUCACCUGAUUCCAGAAAACCAAUGUCCUGCUUUCAGUUAUUAAUUUUCAUAUAAAUGGAAUCAAGUAUUCUUUCACUUUUCUUAUAUGCCUUAGCUCAGCUUAUAUAUUUUAUAUAUUUUUUUAAUUUUUAAAAAAAUAUUUAUUUUUUAGUUCUCGGUGGACACAACAUCUUCGUUUGUAUGUGGUACUGAGGAUCGAACCCAGGCCGCACGCAUGCCAGGGGAGCGCGCUACCGCUUGAGCCACAUCCCCAGCCCUAUAUUUUAUAUUUUUGACAUUCAUGUUGUUUUGGGGUCUCAGCUGAGCAGUCCAUUGUAUGAAUUCACCAGGUUCUUUGCUCA
Molecule: long non-coding RNA, 837 nt
Filed under: Marmota monax (woodchuck)
Lineage: Eukaryota; Metazoa; Chordata; Mammalia; Rodentia; Sciuridae
Source: RNAcentral